This 497-nucleotide ribosomal RNA is filed under the name uncultured bacterium. Its description in RNAcentral is "partial 16S ribosomal RNA". It matches the Rfam family "Bacterial small subunit ribosomal RNA", at positions 28 to 507 of the family's 1533-position model. The record is from RNAcentral.
GAUGAACGCUGGCGGCGUGCCUAAUACAUGCAAGUCGAGCGAACAGACGAGGAGCUUGCUCCUCUUACGUUAGCGGCGGAAGGGUGAGUAACACGUGGAUAACCUACCUAUAAGACUGGGAUAACUUCGGGAAACCGGAGCGAAUAUCGGGUAAUAUAUUUAACCGCAUGGUUCAAGAGUGAAAGACGGUUUUGCUGUCACUUAUAGAUGGAUCCGCGCCGCAUUAGCCAGUUGGUAAGGUAACGGCCUACCAAGGCAACGAUGCGUAGCCGACUGGAGAGGGUGACCGGCCACACGGGAACUGAGACACGGUCCAGCCUCCUACGGGAGGCACCAGGAGGGAAUCUUCCGCAAUGGGGGAAGUCCUGACGGAGCAACGCCGCGUGAGGGAUGAAGGUCUUCGGAUCGUAAAACUCUGUUAUUAGGGAAGAACAAAUGUGUAAGUAACUAUGCACGUCUUGACGGUACCUAAUUAGAAAGCCACGGCUAACUACGUG